UGACUGCUACAACUGUGUCAGCAGGCUCCCAGUUCUGUGUGACAAACUUUGUGGCAAAACCACAGCUGCCAGAGUCCAACUUCUUGGAUGCUAUGUUCUCUAUGAGGUUGCAGGGUUCUCCCAAAUCUCAGGUACGCAAGUUCAACCUAAUGGUAAAGCAAUUAAAGCUCAAGUCUUAGGUUCAUCAACAAUAUUUUUUUACUAUUAGUUUUCAUAAAGUAAAAAAGGCUACAAAAAGCCCAAUAUAAAAAUAUCUUAAAAUUUGUUUUAGGCCUCACUCACCCUUAAGUCAGUGCAGGUAUGCAAAUGCUGUACAAGACUUGUGGGGCCACAAAUGCUGCUGGGAGAGGGUUCGAAGAAAGGAGGGACACUGCAUUCUCAGUGAUGGAAAAUGGGGUGGUUAGUGGCCAUGGCUUCUACACUACCAGCU
RNAcentral lists this long non-coding RNA (430 nucleotides) under Glycine max (soybean). Its description in RNAcentral is "long non-coding RNA (GMAX_LNC002252)". Lineage: Eukaryota; Viridiplantae; Streptophyta; Magnoliopsida; Fabales; Fabaceae. The record is from RNAcentral.